Molecule: long non-coding RNA, 1160 nt
Filed under: Homo sapiens (human)
Lineage: Eukaryota; Metazoa; Chordata; Mammalia; Primates; Hominidae
Description: HSALNT0298166
Source: RNAcentral
AUAUCUCUGUGAGGGCACACACUGAGGUUCCACUGACCUGGAAUCUGUAACUACUUACCUGGCUGCCUUAAGCACCGCAAGUCGGUGGGCAAAGAAAGGAGUUAAAGUACAAUAAUUAUAAUAAUUGGCCAGGUGUGGAGACUCAUGAAUGAGCCUGUAAUCCCAGCACUUUGGGAAGCCAAGAUGGGAGGAUUGCUUGAGCCCAGGAGUUCAAGACCAGCCUGGGAAAUAUAGUGAGACCCUGUUUCUACAGAAACAUUAAAAAAUUAGCUGGGCAUGGUGGUGCACACCUAUAGUCUUAGCCAUUCAAGAGGCUGAGGCAGGAGGAUCGCUUGAGAACAGGAGUGCAAGGCUUCAGGGAGCCAUGAUCAUGCCACUGCACUCCAACCCAGGCAACAGACCAAGACCCUGUCUCCAAAAAAAUUAUAAAACCUUUAGCAGCCUGGAUUAUUCCUCUUGGAUUGCAGGAAAUCCAGGGGAUUCACUGAGAUACCUCCUAGUUGUUCCACUCCUGGUAAAGCAAUUAUAACUCAAUAAGGGCUAUUCAACUAAGAGCUUCAGAUCCCCAUCUCCUCCCCUAGAUACGAAGAUCAUCCAAUCAGGCAACCAAUCUAGAUGAAUCAGCUGAAGUGUUGGACAAGAAGGAAGUCUAGCAUGGGUGGUGGAGAAGGGAGAUGAUGAAUAUCAAUUAUAGCCUUAGGACCAGUAACAGUAGCUUGAAUCAAGCCUUCUGUAGCUUGAUGCAUCUGUCUCUUCCAUUAGGCCUUCCAGAAAAUUGCAACUGCCCACAACCUUAAAGGGAACUUUAUAAAUAAAUGGAUUUGUAUUUCCUCUCUUAGAAAAGAGGGCUUCAACCAGCACCACCAUCUAAAGCUUACAGAAGGUCCUAUCCAUUGGCAUGUUACACCACACAACUUUUCUGAUUGGUGAACGGGCAGGGUUUCUCCAUACAGCCUGUCCAAACACUUGCCACAUGGUCAAGUGUGCACAACUGCCAAGCAACCUGCAGUGUCUUUUGAGGCUCAUUAUAAAGAAGAGGCCAGAAUAGAAACCCACCACCAUGCAUGCUUCCAGUUUUCCUUGCCUCAGUUCUCUUUUUUCCUACUCUUGUUAUUCUGAGUUAACACCCCCCAAAUAAAGCAUCAGCACUUAAUCCUUGC